CACCAAUCCUGAGCUAGGAGCAAGGCAUGAGUGGGUGACCAGAGCCCUUACCAAAUGUCCUUGUCAGGUGUUUGAUAUGCAGAGAGGUGAAAGAACAAGCAAAGCCAGUGGAAAAGGCAGGAGGAAAGGAUCCUGGAGGAAAUAAAGACUGCAGAGCAAAGCUCUCAACUCAUACCUGGGUCUAGGAUAAAAAUCUCUAGUAGGUCCGUUUCUCUCAUUUGUUUUCUGCGGGUCACCGAGGUCCUUUGAGUUCAUUUACAUUCCAACCAGUUUUGGAAUUAAAAUUUUUAAGGAAUAGAAUAAAAAUGUGGAUGCCUUAUAUAUUUUAAGUGAUAAUUUUUCUUUUAAAAAUAAAAUGUUGUUAAUGUGAUGCCAGUGUUUGAAGCUUCGUGGUGCAAGAUUCAGUGCUGCUACAAUAACUUCAUGAGCAAGGCACAAGCCACCAUGCCCAGAGACCAAGAACUGGGUGCUGACAGCUGUUCCUGGGAGGCUUUUGGAGGUGUGAUGCCUGGGUCCAGAGGUGUUAAAUUUAUAAGGAAAUUUGCCUCAACACCCCAAAUCAGAUGUUAAUGUGAAGAUUUAAGAACUGAUGGAAUGAUCUGGAAUUUGAUCCAAAGUGAUGAAUUUAUUAGAUGUGAGAGUUGGAGUGACUGAGAUGUAAAUAACCCAAGUCAGGACAAUUAGAGUCUUCUUCUGGGAUGUUUUGGAAGAAAAAAAUGGAAGAAUGGAAAUGGAAGAAAGAAGCUCUUUUCUCCAAAGAAGGGGAAUCGCAAACUGAUAUCCUGGUGAAAUUCAACCUCCUGCCUGUUCUGUUUUUUGAAAUAAUUAUAGACUCACAAAGUGAAAAAUGCAGAAAGCUGUCCUCCUGUGUACAGUGGUAUCCACACUUUCCAAAUGAUGCUUAUGGCUCCCAAGAAAAACAUCAGGUGUUCAAAUGUUUCCAUCAACUCAACACUGACCUGUUUUUACUUUCAACCUUCCCUGAAAUGACCUCCAAUUUGGGAAAUUCUUGGCCAACAGAGAGGUACCCAACAAAAACACUGCUAUGAAGCAAAAAGAGAAGAUGGCCUUUGAGCCCCUGAAAUGCAACAUGGUCUUGAGAGAAAGAAACAAGCCCUGACAUGUUUUCUGAGGGUGACAUGGGUGUCUCUAAGGAGGUGGCCCCAGGGGGAAGGGCAAAAGAGGAAGAGAAAGAAAUUCUGGGGAAUCUGACAGAGGUAAUUCUAGUUCCUGAAAAGUUCUGUGUCGUGUUUGUCUCUCCUCUGAGAAUGUUAGCUCUGAGCCAACACAAGUGUUAUGUACUUGUCCUAAAUAAGUAGCAUCCCCCACUUUGUUUUUGUUAGCCAAGAUUUAUUUGAAGAAUAUUAAAAUACAUAGGUUGUAUAUAGAAAUACCAGGAAAGAUCUUUGCCAAAAUAGAAACAAUGGCUAUCUCUAGAGGGUGGAAUUUUAGGUGGUUUUUACCUUUAUAACUUUGUGUUGUUGCUGUUGUUUUUGGCCUUUAUAAUUUUCUGUAUUUGUGG
RNAcentral lists this long non-coding RNA (1522 nucleotides) under Vulpes vulpes (red fox). RNAcentral's name for it is "lncRNA (ENSVVUG00000015654.1)". The record is from RNAcentral. Lineage: Eukaryota; Metazoa; Chordata; Mammalia; Carnivora; Canidae.